RNAcentral lists this transfer RNA (68 nucleotides) under Bos taurus (domestic cattle). It matches the Rfam family "tRNA". From Rfam's summary of the family: Transfer RNA (tRNA) molecules are approximately 80 nucleotides in length. Their secondary structure includes four short double-helical elements and three loops (D, anti-codon, and T loops). Further hydrogen bonds mediate the characteristic L-shaped molecular structure. tRNAs have two regions of fundamental functional importance: the anti-codon, which is responsible for specific mRNA codon recognition, and the 3' end, to which the tRNAs corresponding amino acid is attached (by aminoacyl-tRNA synthetases). tRNAs cope with the degeneracy of the genetic code in two manners: having more than one tRNA (with a specific anti-codon) for a particular amino acid; and 'wobble' base-pairing, i.e. permitting non-standard base-pairing at the 3rd anti-codon position. The record is from Rfam by way of RNAcentral. RNAcentral also lists the same sequence under 4 other names. Lineage: Eukaryota; Metazoa; Chordata; Mammalia; Artiodactyla; Bovidae.
CCUGGUGGGUCAGUGGUAAAGAACCUGCCUGCCAAGCAGGAGACCUGGGUUCAAUCCCUGGAUCAGGA